GAUGAAGAACGCAGCGAAACGCGAUAGGUAAUGUGAAUUGCAGAAUUCAGUGAAUCAUCGAAUCUUUGAACGCACAUUGCGCCCGCUGGUAUUCCGGCGGGCAUGCCUGUUCGAGCGUCAUUUCAACCCUCAAGCCCCCGGGUUUGGUGUUGGGGAUCGGCUCUGCCCUUCUGGGCGGUGCCGCCCCCGAAAUACAUUGGCGGUCUCGCUGCAGCCUCCAUUGCGUAGUAGCUAACACCUCGCAACUGGAACGCGGCGCGGCCAUGCCGUAAAACCCCAACUUCUGAAUGUUGACCUCGGAUCAGGUAGGAAUACCCGCUGAACUUAAGCAUAUCAAUAAGCGGAGGA
Molecule: unclassified non-coding RNA, 348 nt
Filed under: soil metagenome
Description: partial contains 5.8S ribosomal RNA, internal transcribed spacer 2, and large subunit ribosomal RNA
Rfam family: 5.8S ribosomal RNA (bases 1-120)
Source: RNAcentral